GCCUGGUUGGCUCAGUUGGUUGAGCAUCCAACUUCAGCUCAGGUCAUGAUCUCGCGGUGUGGGUUCAAGCCCCGCAUGGGGCU
RNAcentral lists this transfer RNA (83 nucleotides) under Felis catus (domestic cat). It matches the Rfam family "tRNA". Rfam says of the family: Transfer RNA (tRNA) molecules are approximately 80 nucleotides in length. Lineage: Eukaryota; Metazoa; Chordata; Mammalia; Carnivora; Felidae. The record is from Rfam by way of RNAcentral.